Molecule: long non-coding RNA, 433 nt
Organism: Formica exsecta
Lineage: Eukaryota; Metazoa; Arthropoda; Insecta; Hymenoptera; Formicidae
Exons: 2
Source: RefSeq, a predicted model, not a curated record
CAGUUAUACAUAACACGAACGAAGAUAUAAAUAUAUGCUUUACGGGCGAAUUAUUAAAUUAAAACGCGAGCGCGAGAGAGUAACUACGAUGUCAGACCGUUCGAGGCAUACUGAAGAUGAUUCCUUAGCAAUGACAUGGAAAGAAUAGUAAGCGCUACGAACGGAGUACUUUAACAACUUCAUGCGGGGCUUCGCCUGCUAAAUGGAUGAUGGCAAUUCAAUUAUCUGUGACGAGUGACGUCAACUGUUCGAUACGAUCGCGCGCAGUGUAAUAUAGAGGUAAUAGUCUUUUAGUAAAUAAAAUUUUUCGAAACGUUUUAUCAGUAAUAAUUCGAAAUGUAAUAAGUCGUCGAAAAAAUUACAUGCAAAUAUGAGAUAUAUAUAUGAGUAUUGUAUUGUUUACCUAAAUAAAAACUUGACGGCUUGUUCUACU